CCUAAACGUGUAUAAUCACUAAAGGGAGAAUUGAAAGUAAGUUUUAAUUCACAAUCGAUCUGAAAGAGUUCUAAUCGCCCACUGCCUCGCUAAAAGGAACCUAAUGGAUCGUACACCGUGUAAGGUAGAAAUUGAAGAAACAAAGGAGAUGAGUAAGAAUAAUUAAAUGGUUUGAUUAUUUAUUUAUGGCAAGGAUUAAUU
RNAcentral lists this long non-coding RNA (201 nucleotides) under Malus domestica (apple). Its description in RNAcentral is "long non-coding RNA (MDOM_LNC013292)". Lineage: Eukaryota; Viridiplantae; Streptophyta; Magnoliopsida; Rosales; Rosaceae. The record is from RNAcentral.